Molecule: ribosomal RNA, 508 nt
Filed under: uncultured bacterium
Lineage: Bacteria
Description: partial 16S ribosomal RNA
Rfam family: Bacterial small subunit ribosomal RNA
Source: RNAcentral
AUUGAACGCUGGCGGCAUGCCUAACACAUGCAAGUCGAACGGCAGCAUGAAUAUGGGUAACCAUAUUUGAUGGCGAGUGGCGGACGGGUGAGUAAUAUGUAGGAAUCUACCUAGAGGAGGGGGAUAACUUGGGGAAACCCAAGCUAAUACCACAUAAGCCCUACGGGGGAAAGCAGGGGAUCGAAAGACCUUGCGCCUUAUGAUGAGCCUACAUCGGAUGAGCUAGUUGGUGGGGUAAAGGCCUACCAAGGCGACGAUCCGUAGCUGGUCUGGGAGGAUGAUCAGCCACACUGGGACUGAGACACGGCCCAGACUCCUACGGGAGGCAGCAGUGGGGAAUAUUGGACAAUGGGCGAAAGCCUGAUCCAGCAAUGCCGCGUGUGUGAAGAAGGCCUUAGGGUUGUAAAGCACUUUCAGUAGGGAGGAGGGUUGUAAUGCUAAUAUCAUUGCAAAUUGACGUUACCUACAGAAGAAGCACCGGCUAACUCUGUGCCAGCCGCCGCGGUAA